UCCAUGACUAGCCAGCAGUGGAAUGCUUUUUGCAAAUCUAUACAUGACUUAACAAGUGUUUCCAUUAUGAAGUGCUACAUAAAUAGGUGAGACAAGAAAUUGCCUUCAUUAGGAGCAUGUCAUGUGACAUGAUAGCCAAUUAGUAGACCUCAGAUGGAGCAUGAACUUAAAAUUCCAAACAAUCAAUGAAUACGUACGAAUGAGCGGUAGUGUAAUACAAGCAUAUAUAUACAUACCUCUAUUAAUUUUACUUGGUAUUGAUUAGUACAGUUCUAAUCUUUGCUAUGAAACUAGUAAACCCCAUCAGCCAGUACAUAUUAAUGGUUUUGCAUGAACUAAAAAAUUUUGAUGAUGUGCCCCUUGGGCUGAAUUCCAAGCUUGUGAUAAAAGGAUGCUACAAUUAAUCACUGUUUUUAUUUCAAACACAACUUUACUUACAAAUAUCAAUAAAGGAAAAGGAAAAAUGAUUUAAUUAAUAUGAUCGGUUCAGUAAGCAAAGCCUGUAUGAGCAAAGCCAUUUACCUUAUCACGCUUCUUUUUAACACUUGUCUCAGCAGAUUCAUCUUCAAGAACUAAUGUGCCCAUAACCCGUUCAUCUAAAUCUUCCAAUUCUCUCUGAACUUGAUCACCUUCUCUCCUCAUCGGAUCGCCUCUAACCUCACCAUGCAGUUCCAACAAAGACUCUUCAAACUCUGGUGCAGUAACUGAAUGCAGAUUACUUCCUGCAGGCGAACCAGGGCUAUAAAGCUGGCCAAUAAGCGUUCUUUCACCAGACAUUCUGCCACUCAUUGCUCUUCCUUUCUCCUCAGUAACUGAAUUGACAUUCCUAUGAUUCAAUUCACCAAAUUUACCCUUUCCCUUACUCCUAUUCCGCGCAAAACUACCACUUUUAUUCCCCAAAGUUCUAGGGUUGCUAUAAAACCCUGGUGGCGGGCACCUCACAGAUGUUUCCACCCACCUGUUACUACCACCACCACCAUGAUCCCCAAAUGCAUGCGCAUUUAGUUCCUUAUUUCGAUUUAAUUCAAGAGAUAUUUGAAACUCGUUUUCCAAACCAUUCUGAAUUCUGUUCCCUAAACCCCCUCCUCUAUCAUCACUUCGUAAUUGAUUAUCAUUUGAAUUUGAUACACCGACAUUGUUGUGGAUAUCAAAAGGCAAUGAGCCAAACAUCAAAUUGGUCCGUACCUGCUGAUGAGCUGAGUUUAAUUUGGGAUUCGUACCAAAAGAGCCUACCUUUUUAACAUCGUCUCCACCAAAUAAGUUACUCUGAUUGAGUUGAUAAUUCUGCUGGUAGGUCUGAUCAAAUCCAGGUCGUGGUGGCGAUGCAGAGGACAAAUUAGGGUUAGGGUUUUGGAGGAAAAAAUUAUGAGGAGCAAAAUGGGUAGGAGACUGAGACCAAGGGGAUCGAUGGGAGAGAUGCUCGUGACCAUUAGGAACAUUGGAUUGGUACAAUGGCGGCGCGAAGGAGAUGCUGGGUCCCACGAUGGCAACGGCGGGAUCGUGAGGCAGAUUUUGAGCUGGUGGUUGUUGUGCUUGCUGACGGGGUUGUUGCGGCGGAUUUCGCAGCAACUGGAGGAUAAAUUCGCCGCUAUUCACCGACGAUGACGGCGGCUGAGCUUCGCCUCCACCGCCUGACAUUGUGAGGGAGGUUUUACAAAGAUUUGAAGUAAUGGGACAAGGCGACUAAUGUAUGGAAUUUAUAUAUAUAUAUAUAUAUAUAUANNNNNNNNNNNNNNNNNNNNNNNNNNNNNNNNNNNNNNNNNNNNNNNNNNNNNNNNNNNNNNNNNNNNNNNNNNNNNNNNNNNNNNNNNNNNNNNNNNNNGUGGGAUGCUUUUUGCAAAUCUAUACAUGACUUAACAAGUGUUUCCAUUAUGAAGUGCUACAUAAAUAGGUGAGACAAGAAAUUGCCUUCAUUAGGAGCAUGUCAUGUGACAUGAUAGCCAAUUAGUAGACCUCAGAUGGAGCAUGAACUUAAAAUUCCAAACAAUCAAUGAAUACGUACGAAUGAGCGGUAGUGUAAUACAAGCAUAUAUAUACAUACCUCUAUUAAUUUUACUUGGUAUUGAUUAGUACAGUUCUAAUCUUUGCUAUGAAACUAGUAAACCCCAUCAGCCAGUACAUAUUAAUGGUUUUGCAUGAACUAAAAAAUUUUGAUGAUGUGCCCCUUGGGCUGAAUUCCAAGCUUGUGAUAAAAGGAUGCUACAAUUAAUCACUGUUUUUAUUUCAAACACAACUUUACUUACAAAUAUCAAUAAAGGAAAAGGAAAAAUGAUUUAAUUAAUAUGAUCGGUUCAGUAAGCAAAGCCUGUAUGAGCAAAGCCAUUUACCUUAUCACGCUUCUUUUUAACACUUGUCUCAGCAGAUUCAUCUUCAAGAACUAAUGUGCCCAUAACCCGUUCAUCUAAAUCUUCCAAUUCUCUCUGAACUUGAUCACCUUCUCUCCUCAUCGGAUCGCCUCUAACCUCACCAUGCAGUUCCAACAAAGACUCUUCAAACUCUGGUGCAGUAACUGAAUGCAGAUUACUUCCUGCAGGCGAACCAGGGCUAUAAAGCUGGCCAAUAAGCGUUCUUUCACCAGACAUUCUGCCACUCAUUGCUCUUCCUUUCUCCUCAGUAACUGAAUUGACAUUCCUAUGAUUCAAUUCACCAAAUUUACCCUUUCCCUUACUCCUAUUCCGCGCAAAACUACCACUUUUAUUCCCCAAAGUUCUAGGGUUGCUAUAAAACCCUGGUGGCGGGCACCUCACAGAUGUUUCCACCCACCUGUUACUACCACCACCACCAUGAUCCCCAAAUGCAUGCGCAUUUAGUUCCUUAUUUCGAUUUAAUUCAAGAGAUAUUUGAAACUCGUUUUCCAAACCAUUCUGAAUUCUGUUCCCUAAACCCCCUCCUCUAUCAUCACUUCGUAAUUGAUUAUCAUUUGAAUUUGAUACACCGACAUUGUUGUGGAUAUCAAAAGGCAAUGAGCCAAACAUCAAAUUGGUCCGUACCUGCUGAUGAGCUGAGUUUAAUUUGGGAUUCGUACCAAAAGAGCCUACCUUUUUAACAUCGUCUCCACCAAAUAAGUUACUCUGAUUGAGUUGAUAAUUCUGCUGGUAGGUCUGAUCAAAUCCAGGUCGUGGUGGCGAUGCAGAGGACAAAUUAGGGUUAGGGUUUUGGAGGAAAAAAUUAUGAGGAGCAAAAUGGGUAGGAGACUGAGACCAAGGGGAUCGAUGGGAGAGAUGCUCGUGACCA
This 3234-nucleotide long non-coding RNA is filed under the name Panax ginseng (ginseng). RNAcentral's name for it is "long non-coding RNA (PGIN_LNC016905)". The record is from RNAcentral. Lineage: Eukaryota; Viridiplantae; Streptophyta; Magnoliopsida; Apiales; Araliaceae.